This 622-nucleotide ribosomal RNA is filed under the name uncultured archaeon. Its description in RNAcentral is "bacterial SSU rRNA". It matches the Rfam family "Archaeal small subunit ribosomal RNA", at positions 141 to 765 of the family's 1478-position model. The record is from RNAcentral.
UGAGGAUAAUACUUGAUAAAAGAUUUUCUUUGGAAUAAGAAAUCUUUCAAAUUCGAGCUUAAGGACAGGACUGCGGCUGAUUAGGUAGUUGGCGGGGUAAAUGCCCACCAAGCCAAUAAUCAGUAAGGGCUUUUAGCGAAGGAGCCCUGAGAAGGAAUCUGAGACACUAUUCCUAGCCUUACGGGGUGCAGCAGUUAGGGAACUUUUCCAAUGCGCGCAAGCGUGAGAAAAUGAGUCGGAGUGUUAUUCAUUAAUAUGAAUAACUUUUUUUUGUUGUAAAAAGACAGACGAAUAAGGAGUGGGCAAGAUCGGUGCCAGCCGCCGCGGUAAUCCCGACGCUCCAAGUCGCAACCACAAUUAUUGGGUCUAAAACAUCCGUAGCUUGUUUAGUGAGUUUCUUGUGAAAUCUUGUCUCUUAAAGGCAAGGCGUGCAAGAAGUACUACUAGACUUGGGACUGGAAGAAGUAAGAAGUACAGUAGAGGUAGUAGUAAAAUACGUUAAUCUUUAUUGGACUAACAACAGCGAAGGCAUCUUACUAGUACAGAUCUGACAGUGAGGGAUGAAGGCUAGGGUCGCAAAACGGAUUAGAUACCCGUGUAGUCCUAGCAGUAAACACUGCUC